GACAGAGGCCUCGAGCGUUAGGCGGAAUCACUGGGCUUAAAGCGUGUGUAGGCGGAUCGUUAAGUACCUUGUGAAAUCCCACGGCUCAACCGUGGAACGGCUGGGUAUACUGGCGGUCUUGGGCCAUUCAGGGGCGACUGGAACAAGCGGUGGAGCGGUGAAAUGCGUAGAUAUCGCUUGGAACGCCGAAGGUGAAAACAGGUCGCUGGGGAUGUGCCGACGCUGAGACACGAAAGCCAGGGGAGCAAACAGG
RNAcentral lists this ribosomal RNA (253 nucleotides) under uncultured bacterium. RNAcentral describes it as "partial 16S ribosomal RNA". It matches the Rfam family "Bacterial small subunit ribosomal RNA", at positions 524 to 776 of the family's 1533-position model. The record is from RNAcentral.